GACGAACGCUGGCGGCGUGCUUAACACAUGCAAGUCGAACGGAAAGGCCCUGCUUUCGUGGGGUGCUCGAGUGGCGAACGGGUGAGGAACACGUGAGUAACCUGCCCUUGACUUUGGGAUAACUUCAGGAAACUGGGGCUAAUACCGGAUAGGAGCUCCUGCUGCAUGGUGGGGGUUGGAAAGUUUCGGCGGUUGGGGAUGGACGCGCGGCUGAUGCGCUUGUUGGUGGGGGAGGGGCUUACCAAGGCUUUGGCGGGUAGCCGGCCUGAGAGGGUGGCCGGCCACAUUGGGACUGCGAUACGGCCCAGACUCCUACGGGAGGCAGCAGUGGGGAAUAUUGCACAAUGGGCGCGAGCCUGAUGCAGCGACGCCGCGUGCGGGAUGACGGCCUUCGGGUUGUAAACCGCUUUCGCCUGUGACGAAGCGUGAGUGACGGUAAUGGGUAAAGAAGCACCGGCUAACUACGUG
RNAcentral lists this ribosomal RNA (468 nucleotides) under uncultured bacterium. RNAcentral's name for it is "partial 16S ribosomal RNA". It matches the Rfam family "Bacterial small subunit ribosomal RNA", at positions 28 to 507 of the family's 1533-position model. The record is from RNAcentral.